Molecule: ribosomal RNA, 503 nt
Filed under: uncultured bacterium
Lineage: Bacteria
Description: partial 16S ribosomal RNA
Rfam family: Bacterial small subunit ribosomal RNA
Source: RNAcentral
AUUGAACGCUGGCGGCAGGCUUAACACAUGCAAGUCGAGCGGGGUGAUGGUGCUUGCACUAUCACUUAGCGGCGGACGGGUGAGUAAUGCUUAGGAAUCUGCCUAUUAGUGGGGGACAACAUCUCGAAAGGGAUGCUAAUACCGCAUACGUCCUACGGGAGAAAGCAGGGGAUCACUUGUGACCUUGCGCUAAUAGAUGAGCCUAAGUCGGAUUAGCUAGUUGGUGGGGUAAGGGCCUACCAAGGCGGCGAUCUGUAGCGGGUCUGAGAGGCUGAUCCGCCACAAUGGGACUGCGACACGGCCCAGACUCCUACAGGAGGCAGCAGUGGGGAAUAUUGGACAAUGGGGGGAACCCUGAUCCAGCCAUGCCGCGUGUGUGAAGAAGGCCUUAUGGUUGUAAAGCACUUUAAGCGAGGAGGAGGCUCUUUUGGUUAAUACCCAAGAUGAGUGGACGUUACUCGCAGAAUAAGCACCGGCUAACUCUGUGCCAGCCGCCGCCGUAA